GGCGCGUUGCCCGAGUGGCCAAUGGGAGUGGACUGUAAAUCCAUCGGCUUUAGCCUACGUAGGUUCGAAUCCUACACGCGCCA
RNAcentral lists this transfer RNA (83 nucleotides) under Stackebrandtia endophytica. It matches the Rfam family "tRNA". Rfam says of the family: Transfer RNA (tRNA) molecules are approximately 80 nucleotides in length. Their secondary structure includes four short double-helical elements and three loops (D, anti-codon, and T loops). Further hydrogen bonds mediate the characteristic L-shaped molecular structure. tRNAs have two regions of fundamental functional importance: the anti-codon, which is responsible for specific mRNA codon recognition, and the 3' end, to which the tRNAs corresponding amino acid is attached (by aminoacyl-tRNA synthetases). tRNAs cope with the degeneracy of the genetic code in two manners: having more than one tRNA (with a specific anti-codon) for a particular amino acid; and 'wobble' base-pairing, i.e. permitting non-standard base-pairing at the 3rd anti-codon position. Lineage: Bacteria; Bacillati; Actinomycetota; Actinomycetes; Glycomycetales; Glycomycetaceae. The record is from Rfam by way of RNAcentral.